RNAcentral lists this long non-coding RNA (214 nucleotides) under Mytilus galloprovincialis (Mediterranean mussel). The record is from RNAcentral. Lineage: Eukaryota; Metazoa; Mollusca; Bivalvia; Mytilida; Mytilidae.
AAAGGUAUACGCUUGGUGAACGCUUUUACUCCAGGAAAUUUUUAUGGAGCAUAAAAAAAUUCAUUCAGCUCAAGCGUGUGUCAAGCGUAUACCUGUACGCUACACACACACAAUAUACACGCUACAAGGGUGUUGAAAACGCUACAGAUAAGUUUGAGACACGUUAAGGGCACGUUGUAUACGCUUCAAAAUCGUUUGAUUAUAACUAAAACAA